This 3702-nucleotide long non-coding RNA is filed under the name Strigops habroptila (Kakapo). RNAcentral describes it as "lncRNA (ENSSHBG00005013986.1)". Lineage: Eukaryota; Metazoa; Chordata; Aves; Psittaciformes; Psittacidae. The record is from RNAcentral.
UCUUCUAAUGCUUCAGAUAUUUUUCGUAUGGAAUUUUGUUAAAACAGAUAUUCCCAAAUAGGAUGAACCCGUUGCUGGCAAUGGGCAUAAAUGGUCAGCACCACAGAGUUCCUAUUCUUAGCACGUAAUUGAACUCUACAAUUGUACCAUGGUGGCCAUAUAUAACCCUUGUAAUCAAGGUAACUAAACAGGGAUUUGCUCACUAACACUGUAACCUGCUUAAUGUAUAGAAGCACUUUGUAUUUAAAAAGAAAAAAGUGAAAAAAAAAAAAAGGAAAAAACAUAAAACUUUAUAAGUAUGUUUUUUAAACUUAGAAAAUAUAUUCCCUUUAUGGUUUGUUUCCACACUGCUAAUAUUGUCUUUUUUAAUACUGAAAAAAAAUAACUAUAAUGCUUGCCUGUUUACAUGAGUGUAGAAGAAAGAGGGUUCUUGCACUCAGUGGCCCUAUUUUUCCAUUCUGCAAGGCCUUACUACAUACAGGGUGUCAUUUCUGCAAGUCCCAUCAUCACACCUGAGGGAAGGUAUUCUCAUACUCAUUUCAAGAAUGAUUCUGUGUAUUACAUUAGUUCUCAACCCCUUUCGAAUUGUCACUUCAGCGUUGCAUACAAAGGUUAAGGCUGCCUCUUCCCAUUGAACCAUCAGAAAGGCUGGUCAGAGACACCAGGCUGAAAAACACGGUCAAGCAAAAAACCUCUUUCUGUUAAACCCAGACUAUCCUACAGAGCUGCCAGCAGAACUGUUUCUUUUACCAGCUUGGAAUGACUUUUAUACGGGACAUUUCAAAGUUAAACAUUACUCCUAUUUGCAGUUAGACUACUUUGAAAUAAAGCUUUAAAAUAAAAUGUACUGCGAGAGACACUUUAAAGGUUUUAUAACAGGUCCAGUAGAUCAUAUUAUAGAACCAUGUCCUCUUUUAAUGACUUAGCAUGAAUAGUAACUUUAUAAUAUUUCUUAUUACUGUUUUACCCCAUUUUACGACAUUGUCCUGGAAGUCCAACAAAUGUUGCUCCACUGAUUUUGUAGCACUUGGCUUUUUGAUGUUAAUUUACAUGAAACCAAGUGAUUGCAGGAAAAUAUUGAUACGAUUGUCAUGAGGUUGAGAGGAUUGAUGAUGUAAGGGAAGCUUGAGAUACAUGUCUAAAAUCCUUAUUUUUGCUUAUCACAGGCAAAACAAUUGACUUGUGUUGGUUUUCCUGAAUUUAAUUUAUUGCCCUUUGACAAACCUCUAAUCACUGAUUCAGGUAUUGGGGGGGAAAAAGAUAACAAGAAAUUACUUUAACGCUUAAGGAAACCUCUGUCCUUCCCCUUCCUCAGUCUCAGCUUAAGGCUAACACCUCUCCUCCCUGCCUUUGUGGUCUCCUACUCCCUUGCUUUCACUGAGAGCUGCGUUCAGCCCGUGCCAGCUCUCGUAGCGAGGUGACAGAUCCCUCAGGAGGUUGGGCUCAUUGGCACACUGGCUUGUCUGCCGCUCUUCAUUUCUCAGUGGGUGUCCUCUGCUGCUCUGGGCUGGUUGGUGUCACUGCUCAUAGUGGCACCACACAGUCCCUUCAGGGAUGUGUCUGUUCCAGCUUGGCUCUCCUGUGGGCCUCAGGCACUUCGGAGGUGUACCUGCUCUGGCAUGGCUUAGCUACAGGCCAAAGUCCCCUCAGAAGUGAAUCUCCCAGGCAUGGAUGUGUCCUUCUGUGAGUGUGUGUCUAUACAUGUCCUCAGUGUCUUCUCCACUUGUUUUCCCAAGGGCAGCUCUUCAGUUUAUCCACGUUUCCAGCUGUGUUUCCUUAGGAGUAUCUUCUCCUUAUGUGUCUCCUUGCACCUCUUGCUAGCAGCCGCCACUCUUCCUUAAACAUGUUUGAGCAGAGGCACCGUGCGCACCUCUGGCUGAGGUUCUGGCAUGCACUGGAUUGUUUGCAUGCACUUCAGUGCAGGCUAGAACCUGUUGUGACCAGCACGGGGCAGUUUGUAACCUCCUGCUGUAUGUCAAGGAGUGUCCGGACGACGCUCUUAGUCAUAUGGUUUAGUUUUAGGUAGUCCUAUGAGGAGCAGGGAGUUGGACUCUGAUCUUUAUGGGUCCCUUCCAAGUGGAGAUACUCUGUCAGCCUUGCAGCCCCCUGCUACUGAAACCCUGCAGUUUAUGGCCGAUACAGUUGUACAGAGUAAACCAAGAUCUGCAGAUGCAGCUUCUGUCAAGCUCUUGAUCUUUGCCAUAGAGUGGUCUUGUUCAACAUACAAGAAAUUGUUUCUUGUUUGUGGGGAGGAAGGAAGCAAUCCCUAUAAAUAUAUAAUAGGAAUGCAUAUGUAUAUGGUGAAUUUCAUUAAUCUUCCCUUAAGCUUCAUCAUCUUUAAUGAUAUGGCUUAGAAACAUCUGUGCAUUUUUAUAUUGCUCGCUGUUGCCUGCAGUAAGGUGAAUGUCUUCUGAGAAACAGUCAUUGUACACACAGGAGGCUUUCAGAACUCCCUGCUACCGUGAAGCCAUUCAUUGUCCUAUCAGUGGUAAGAAAAUGAUAAGCUAAGUUCCUUUGCAUUCCAAUUUGUAACUAAGGUGUUAAUUGCCAUGGAAUCUGUGUAACUGAUCAUGCAAAACUGUGUAAGAUUAUGAAACAUUCAACUGUUAGCAGCGUUAAGAUCUCUGCUUAGGUGUAUAUCUGACUUUUUUAAAGGAGGAGGUUCCUAUUUCACACACCACUGUUGGGGUUUUUGUUGUUGUUUUGGGUUUUAAACAUGACUUUGUUUUAUGGGUGAGCAGGUAGACUCUAGAGGGUACUGUCAGGACAAGUUUUGGUCUUCGCUUUUGUUCAUCUGAAGUGUUCCUGGGGUUGAGAAACGUUGUCCUGUACCAGAAGCAAGGCAGAUGAUCAAAGGCUGAUGGGUUUCUUGUUACAAAAAGAAUACUUGAUGUCCCUGUGUUAUUGAGCCUGAAAGAAUGGAGGCACCUCAGGUCUUGUAAUCUCAUGGCGUUGGUGCCAGGAAGAUGACCUGUCUCUGGGUUACGAGAGCCUACAGCACUGAGUAUUUUGCUUUAAUGGAAUCAGAACAUUUCUCAAAAUAACAUAGGAAAGUUGGGGGGUUUUUUGUCAUUUAAAUGCUUCAUUGGCUCGCUAGGCUUCUUUAGCUGUAAGCUGUAAACUGUCGGUGCCCACAGGGGAGAUGCUGGAAAACAAAACGAUGGUAUAUUUUUAAUGUGAUUAAAUUGUAAGUUCCGAUUUUUGCUUGAAGCCUGUGUCUGUCGAUUGCUGCUCCUUUGUUUUAUUAUUCAUGGGAUUCCAUAUUUCUUCCAGAAAUGUAACUGUUUAUGCAAGUCAAGUGAAUCUUUCUUAAUGAGCUCUAAGUUUUUAUUCUAAACAAGUCAUUUAUAAUAGUAAAUUUGCAUAUCUUGAUAUUUUGUGAGAUGUUAUGCCUGUAUUGCAGAGGUUGGAUAGUUUUGUCUAUAAAUAUUGCUGUCCUAAUUGUACAGCAUGGUUUUAAUUUAAUGUUACUGUUCAAUAUUUUCUUCUUAUAGAAGAGUCCCAUGCCCCUUUUUUGUAUAACAUGUUUUAAUAAAUGUUAUCUGUCAACUUUGUAAAUGUUUUCUUAAGCUUGAAUGAAAGGAAUGCAUGUCUAGUACUAGUAUUUAAUAUUUCACUUUUGCCAAAACGAUAAGUGCUCAAACAAAAGUACAAAUCCAAAAGUUGUUGAUAUAUAACUUUAUUAAAUAUAUAAAGAAAAAA